This 253-nucleotide ribosomal RNA is filed under the name uncultured bacterium. RNAcentral's name for it is "partial 16S ribosomal RNA". It matches the Rfam family "Bacterial small subunit ribosomal RNA", at positions 524 to 776 of the family's 1533-position model. The record is from RNAcentral.
UACAGAGGCCUCGAGCGUUAGGCGGAAUCACUGGGCUUAAAGCGUGUGUAGGCGGACUUCUAAGUACCUUGUGAAAUCCCACGGCUCACCCGUGGAACUGCUCGGUAUACUGGUCGUCUUGAGCCUUCUAGGGGCGAGUGGAACAAAUGGUGGAGCGGUGAAAUGCAUUGAGAUCGGAAAGAACACCAAUGGCGAAAGCACUCUGCUGGGCCAACACUGACACUGAGAGACAAAAGCGUGGGGAGCGAACAGG